AUGAACGCUGGCGGCGUGCCUAAUACAUGCAAGUCGAGCGAACAGACGAGGAGCUUGCUCCUCUGACGUUAGCGGCGGACGGGUGAGUAACACGUGGAUAACCUACCUAUAAGACUGGGAUAACUUCGGGAAACCGGAGCUAAUACCGGAUAAUAUAUUGAACCGCAUGGUUCAAUAGUGAAAGACGGUUUUGCUGUCACUUAUAGAUGGAUCCGCGCCGCAUUAGCUAGUUGGUAAGGUAACGGCUUACCAAGGCAACGAUGCGUAGCCGACCUGAGAGGGUGAUCGGCCACACUGGAACUGAGACACGGUCCAGACUCCUACGGGAGGCAGCAGGAGGGAAUCUUCCGCAAUGGGCGAAAGCUUGACGGAGCAACGCCGCGUGAGUGAUGAAGGUCUUCGGAUCGUAAAACUCUGUUAUUAGGGAAGAACAAAUGUGUAAGUAACUAUGCACGUCUUGACGGUACCUAAUCAGAAAGCCACGGCUAACUACGU
Molecule: ribosomal RNA, 495 nt
Filed under: uncultured bacterium
Lineage: Bacteria
Description: partial 16S ribosomal RNA
Rfam family: Bacterial small subunit ribosomal RNA
Source: RNAcentral